AGAGUUUGAUCCUGGCUCAGGAUCCUUUUUGGCGGCGUGCUUAACACAUGCAAGUCGAACGAAGCACUUAAACCUGAUUCUUCGGAUGAAGGUUUUUGUGACUGAGUGGCGGACGGGUGAGUAACGCGUGGGUAACCUGCCUCAUACAGGGGGAUAACAGUUAGAAAUGACUGCUAAUACCGCAUAAGACCACGGAGCCGCAUGGCUCAGUGGGAAAAACUCCGGUGGUAUGAGAUGGACCCGCGUCUGAUUAGGUAGUUGGUGGGGUAACGGCCUACCAAGCCAACGAUCAGUAGCCGACCUGAGAGGGUGACCGGCCACAUUGGGACUGAGACACGGCCCAAACUCCUACGGGAGGCAGCAGUGGGGAAUAUUGCACAAUGGGGGAAACCCUGAUGCAGCGACGCCGCGUGAGCGAAGAAGUAUUUCGGUAUGUAAAGCUCUAUCAGCAGGGAAGAAAAUGACGGUACCUGACUAAGAAGCACCGGCUAAAUACGUGCCAGCAGCCGCGGUAAUACGUAUGGUGCAAGCGUUAUCCGGAUUUACUGGGUGUAAAGGGAGCGUAGACGGCUGUGUAAGUCUGAAGUGAAAGCCCGGGGCUCAACCCCGGGACUGCUUUGGAAACUAUGCAGCUAGAGUGUCGGAGAGGUAAGUGGAAUUCCCAGUGUAGCGGUGAAAUGCGUAGAUAUUGGGAGGAACACCAGUGGCGAAGGCGGCUUACUGGACGAUGACUGACGUUGAGGCUCGAAAGCGUGGGGAGCAAACAGGAUUAGAUACCCUGGUAGUCCACGCCGUAAACGAUGACUAAAAGGCGUCGGGGAGCAAAGCUCUUCGGGUCCCCCAACCAAACGCAAUUAGUAGUCCCACCUGGGGAGUACGUUUGCAGGAAUGAAACUCAAAGGAAUUGCGUGGGACCCCGCACAAGCGGUGGUGCUUGUGGUUUAAUUCGAAGCAACGCGAAGAACCUUACCUGCUCUCGACAUCCCGGUGACCGGCAUGUAAUGAUGCCUUUUCUUCGGAACACCGGUGACAGGUGGUGCAUGGUUGUCGUCAGCUCGUGUCGUGAGAUGUUGGGUUAAGUCCCGCAACGAGCGCAACCCUUAUCUUCAGUAGCCAGCAUUUUGGAUGGGCACUCUGGAGAGACUGCCAGGGAUAACCUGGAGGAAGGUGGGGAUGACGUCAAAUCAUCAUGCCCCUUAUGAGCAGGGCUACACACGUGCUACAAUGGCGUAAACAAAGGGAAGCGAGCCUGCGAGGGUAAGCAAAUCUCAAAAAUAACGUCUCAGUUCGGAUUGUAGUCUGCAACUCGAAAACAU
Molecule: ribosomal RNA, 1316 nt
Filed under: uncultured bacterium
Lineage: Bacteria
Description: bacterial SSU rRNA
Rfam family: Bacterial small subunit ribosomal RNA
Source: RNAcentral